RNAcentral lists this ribosomal RNA (626 nucleotides) under uncultured Staphylococcus sp. Its description in RNAcentral is "bacterial SSU rRNA". It matches the Rfam family "Bacterial small subunit ribosomal RNA", at positions 91 to 704 of the family's 1533-position model. The record is from RNAcentral. Lineage: Bacteria; Bacillati; Bacillota; Bacilli; Caryophanales; Staphylococcaceae.
AUUAGCGGCGGACGGGUGAGUAACACGUGGAUAACCUACCUAUAAGACUGGGAUAACUUCGGGAAACCGGAGCUAAUACCGGAUAAUAUUUUGAACCGCAUGGUUCAAAAGUGAAAGACGGUCUUGCUGUCACUUAUAGAUGGAUCCGCGCUGCAUUAGCUAGUUGGUAAGGUAACGGCUUACCAAGGCAACGAUGCAUAGCCGACCUGAGAGGGUGAUCGGCCACACUGGAACUGAGACACGGUCCAGACUCCUACGGGAGGCAGCAGUAGGGAAUCUUCCGCAAUGGGCGAAAGCCUGACGGAGCAACGCCGCGUGAGUGAUGAAGGUCUUCGGAUCGUAAAACUCUGUUAUUAGGGAAGAACAUAUGUGUAAGUAACUGUGCACAUCUUGACGGUACCUAAUCAGAAAGCCACGGCUAACUACGUGCCAGCAGCCGCGGUAAUACGUAGGUGGCAAGCGUUAUCCGGAAUUAUUGGGCGUAAAGCGCGCGUAGGCGGUUUUUUAAGUCUGAUGUGAAAGCCCACGGCUCAACCGUGGAGGGUCAUUGGAAACUGGAAAACUUGAGUGCAGAAGAGGAAAGUGGAAUUCCAUGUGUAGCGGUGAAAUGCGCAGAGAUAUGGAGU